AUUAGAGUUUGAUCCUGGCUCAGGAUGAACGCUGGCGGCGUGCCUUAGGCAUGCAAGUCGAACGGGAAAGUAGCAAUACUUUCCAGUGGCAGACGGGUGAGUAACGCGUAGGAAUCUACCCCUAGGUGGAGCAUAGCCGGCCGAAAGGUCGGGUAAUUCUCCAUAGUUCUCGUAAGAGUAAAGGACUUAACGGUCCGCCAAGGGAGGAGCCUGCGUCCUAUCAGCUAGUUGGUGAGGUAAAUGCUCACCAAGGCGAUGACGGGUAGCUGGAUUGAGAGGUCGAUCAGCCACAACUGCACUGAGACACGGGCAGUACACCUACGGGUGGCAGCAACCAGGAAUAUUGCGCAAUGGACGAAAGUCUGACGCAGCGACGCCGCGUGGAGGAAGACGGCCUUAGGGUUGUAAACUCCUUUUGCCAAGCCGUUCACAGCUUGGAGAAUAAGCCCCUACUAACUACGUGCCAGAAGUCUCGGUAAUACGUAGGGGGCAAGCGUUAUCCGGAUUUACUGGGCGUAAAGUGUGCGUAGGCGCCCCUUUAAGUCAUGCUUUAAAUACUAGGGCUUAACCCUAGAGCUGAGUGUGAUACUGGAGGGGUAGAGGAUUGAUAGGGCAGCUGGAACAGUACGUGUAGCAGUGAAAUGCGUUGAUAUGUACUGGAACACCAAGGGCGAAGGCAGGCUGCUGGGUUUUUCCUGACGCUGAGGCACGAAAGCUAGGGUAGCGAAACAGAUUAGAUACCUGUGUAGUCCUAGCCGUAAACGAUGUCCGCUAACUUUAGCUGCUUGCAGCUGAGGUUCAAGCUAACGCGUUAAGCGGACCGCCUGGGGAGUACGACCGCAAGGUUAAAACUCAAAGGAAUUGACGGGGACCCGCACAAGCGGUGGAGCAUGUGGUUUAAUUCGACGCAACGCGAAGAACCUUACCUACUCUAGAAUGCUCUCGACAACUCCAGAGAUGGAGCCUUCCGGGUAAAACCGGACGAGAUGCAAGGUGCUGCAUGGCUGUCGUCAGCUCGUGUCGUGAGAUGUUGGGUUAAGUCCCGCAACGAGCGCAACCCUUAUCAUCAGUUACUAACGGGUUAAGCCGAGAACUCUGGUGAGACUGCCGUUGAUAAAACGGAGGAAGGUGGGGAUGACGUCAAGUCAUCAUGGCCUUUAUGAGUAGGGCUACACACGUGCUACAAUGGCGAGUACAAACCGUCGCAAAGCAGCGAUGCGGAGCCAAUCGGAAAAAGCUCGUCUCAGUUCGGAUUGAAGUCUGCAACUCGACUUCAUGAAGUUGGAAUCGCUAGUAAUCGCGGAUCAGCACGCCGCGGUGAAUACGUUCCCGGGUCUUGUACACACCGCCCGUCACAUCACGAAAGUGGGUUGUACUAGAAGCGGUUGAGCUAACCCGUAAGGGAGGCAAACCGUAACGGUAUGAUUCAUGAUUGGGGUGAAGUCGUAACAAGGUAACCAAU
RNAcentral lists this ribosomal RNA (1462 nucleotides) under uncultured bacterium. Its description in RNAcentral is "partial 16S ribosomal RNA". It matches the Rfam family "Bacterial small subunit ribosomal RNA". The record is from RNAcentral.